GAUGAACGCUGGCGGCGUGCCUAAUACAUGCAAGUCGAGCGAACAGACGAGGAGCUUGCUCCUCUGACGUUAGCGGCGGACGGGUGAGUAACACGUGGAUAACCUACCUAUAAGACUGGGAUAACUUCGGGAAACCGGAGCUAAUACCGGAUAAUAUAUUGAACCGCAUGGUUCAAUAGUGAAAGACGGUUUUGCUGUCACUUAUAGAUGGAUCCGCGCCGCAUUAGCUAGUUGGUAAGGUAACGGCUUACCAAGGCAAGGAUGCGUAGCCGACCUGAGAGGGUGGUCGCGCACACUGGCACUGAGAAACGGUCCAGACUCCUACGGGAGGAAGCAGUAGGGAAUCUUCCGCAAUGGGGGAAAGCCUGACGGAGCAACGCCGCGUGAGUGAUGAAGGUCUUCGGAUCGUAAAACUCUGUUAUUAGGGAAGAACAAAUGUGUAAGUAACUAUGCACGUCUUGACGGUACCUAAUCAGAAAGCCACGGCUAACUACGUG
This 497-nucleotide ribosomal RNA is filed under the name uncultured bacterium. RNAcentral's name for it is "partial 16S ribosomal RNA". It matches the Rfam family "Bacterial small subunit ribosomal RNA", at positions 28 to 507 of the family's 1533-position model. The record is from RNAcentral.